RNAcentral lists this ribosomal RNA (494 nucleotides) under uncultured bacterium. RNAcentral's name for it is "partial 16S ribosomal RNA". It matches the Rfam family "Bacterial small subunit ribosomal RNA", at positions 28 to 504 of the family's 1533-position model. The record is from RNAcentral.
GAUGAACGCUGGCGGCGUGCCUAAUACAUGCAAGUCGAGCGAACAGACGAGGAGCUUGCUCCUCUGACGUUAGCGGCGGACGGGUGAGUAACACGGGGAUAACCUACCUAUAAGACUGGGAUAACUUCGGGAAACCGGAGCUAAUACCGGAUAAUAUAUUGAACCGCAUGGUUCAAUAGUGAAAGACGGUUUUGCUGUCACUUAUAGAUGGAUCCGCGCCGCAUUAGCUAGUUGGUAAGGUAACGGCUUACCAAGGCGACGAUGCGUAGCCGACCUGAGAGGGUGAUCGGCCACACUGGAACUGAGACACGGUCCAGACUCCUACGGGAGGCAGAAGUAGGGAAUCUUCCGCAAUGGGCGAAAGCCUGACGGAGCAACGCCGCGUGAGUGAUGAAGGUCUUCGGAUCGUAAAACUCUGUUAUUAGGGAAGAACAAAUGUGUAAGUAACUAUGCACGUCUUGACGGUACCUAAUCAGAAAGCCACGGCUAACUAC